CCUGACCCCACCAAGUCGGCCACAGCCCCGAAAAAGGGUUCCAAGAAGACUAUUACUAAGGCAAGAAGCGAAAGCGCAGCCGCAAGGAGAGCUGCUCCGUGUACUUGUACAAGGUGCUGAAGCAGGUCCACCAACACCGGCAUCUCGUCCAAAGCAAUGGGGAUCUUGAACACCUUCGUUAUGCCAUCUUCGAGCGUAUUGCGGGCGAGGCUUCCCGCCUGGCGCGUUACAACAAGCGUUCGACCAUCACCUCCAGGGAGAUCCAGACGGCUGUUCGCCUGUCACGCAUGCUGUGUCCGAGAGCACCAAAGCCGUAACCAAGCACACCAGCUCCAAGUGA
This 340-nucleotide long non-coding RNA is filed under the name Homo sapiens (human). RNAcentral's name for it is "non-protein coding lnc-HIST1H1B-1:1". The record is from RNAcentral. Lineage: Eukaryota; Metazoa; Chordata; Mammalia; Primates; Hominidae.